This is a long non-coding RNA of Cebus imitator (Panamanian white-faced capuchin), 1030 nucleotides long. RefSeq lists it as uncharacterized. The record is from RefSeq and is a predicted model, not a curated record. NCBI's taxonomy places the organism in Eukaryota, Metazoa, Chordata, Mammalia, Primates, Cebidae. The transcript is spliced from 2 exons.
CUCUAUAAGGCCGAGGGGGCGGGGCGCCCGUGGGUGUGGACAGAACCGAGGUGGGAGGAGGGUACAAAGCAACUGAGUGCCUCUCUUGGCUGUUGCCUAGCCUGAACGCCUGGGUUGAGAAAACCCCCAGCCGGGCUCCUCUGAAAUGCCCUGCUCCUGGCCGGACGCGGAGCGCACUAGGCCCCUCCUCCAGUUCUCCGCCAAAGUGUCGGGGGGCGGCAAGCAGCUACAAAACAGGGCUCCUUGGAAACAAAUGGCUGAUUCUACAUCUGUGGUGGAGAAAAUACAAGAUAAGCCUAGAGCAUCUUGUACCGCCAGAAAUUAAAGAAGUGUUCAGAAGACAGAAGAAUUGGGGGAUGUGUCAAAAAGACAAAGAAGCCAACAUGAAAAAAAAUUCCAAUGAUCAAAGGUGGAACCAUUUGAACAACAAAAUAUAUAAGGUAGUAUUGAAUAAGCCAAACGAAUAUACUAUACAAUGGGAAAAACAGUAACUUGAGUAACUUUACAGUGGAGAAACCUGGCAAACGAAAUCUUUAUCAACUAAUGGUUAAUAUCGAGAGUGAUGUGGUGGAUAUUAUACAUGUCCUGAUAUGGUGUGAUGAGAAAAGUCACUCGAUUCCUGUAAUAAUCUUUCCAAAAAUCCCAGAAUCCCAAUCUAGCCGUGAAAAUGACAAGCCCAGAAUGGGGGUCAUUCUACAAGGUAUGAGGCCCAGACUCCUCAAGAAUAUCAAGGUUGUGAAAACAAAAUGAGAAACUGACAAAUGACAAUGGGGAGACAAGUAAAUGUAAUGUGGCACCCUUGACUGGUUACUGGAAUAAAAAGAACCCUAAGUAGAAAAAUUGGUGAAAUUCAAAUAUCUCCAUUCAGUUAAUGAUAUGCAUAUAUUGGUUUCUUGGUUUUUGCAAAUAUACUAUGGUAAGAAAUUAACAAUAGAAAAACUAGAUGAGAGGUGUAAGGGAGUUAAGUAGCUCUGCAAACUUCCCAUAAAUUUAAAAUUAUUCCAAAAAUUAAGUUUAAAAAAGAUUGCCA